This is a long non-coding RNA of Panicum virgatum (switchgrass), 1037 nucleotides long. RefSeq lists it as uncharacterized. The record is from RefSeq and is a predicted model, not a curated record. The transcript has 4 exons. Lineage: Eukaryota; Viridiplantae; Streptophyta; Magnoliopsida; Poales; Poaceae.
GGGGGGAGUCGUCUAGUGCUGAGGAGGAGGACACGGCCGAGGAUACCUCUACGCCUGCUGUUUGGUUGCGAGGUCCCUCGCGACUCCCAGAUAGGCCGAUACCUAUUGCCUUGCGCUCGCUGAUUCGACCGUGCGGGGAUAUGAAUUGGGCUGUUCUCAGUGGCGGUGCUCACAAACGCAAGGUCAACGGCAUCCUGGGUCUUUUGUGCAGGGAGCACUUCCCAGGCCUGGUCCACUAUCAAGGACGAUACGAGCCGGCCUGGACGUGAGACCACUACAUCGCCGCCAACAACGAUCAGUUGGAUCGGAGCGACAGAGCCUUUGAGAACAAGGCGGAGCGGGUAAAGGGCGAGCUCUGGAAUUUUUAUAGGUGUGAUGAGGGAUACGAGGAGCGAGCGGCAAUUGUGGUUGACAAUCGAUGCGUUAAACUCGUCAAGGACAUGCAUUAUGAGGCGCAAGUCCAGUGCGUCAUCAACUUUUGUGCACUUUUCCUAAAGCAGAAGAACGGGAAGCCUGACCCGAGAGCAAUACUUACAGGUUCCUGCGUGGUGGUGUCGUAAUGAUACCGUGUGCUGGGAGCGCAUAGUGGACAAGUGGUUCGACCCGGAGUGGCAGGAGAAGCACGACGCUGGCCAUCAGCGGCAAUUGCUAAUGCCAGGUCCAGCGCACCAUCAAGGCAGCCUCAACAACGACGAGUACAGGGCUAGAUGGGUACACACUACACAGACUCAUUUCUCUAAUCUAACGUUCAAUUCAGCAUAAUUUGUAAUCAACUUCUUCCUUUUUCGCAGUCGUCCUCACACCAAGGCCAGGAGUGCACCCCGUUCGUGGGAUGGGCUCUGGCCCGCAAGAGCAAGGCGACAUCCAACGUCACCUACAACCCUGACGACCCACCCUCGGCGUACAACAACCCGUCCGUCCAUAGUCGUAUCCAGGCGUACACAGAGAUGGGAAGACAUGUCCAUGGGCCAGACUGGGAUCCGAGGACCCAGCCCCUUGAUGGAGAAGUCAUUAUGAGGGUGGGAGGAGGCAAGAAA